Molecule: ribosomal RNA, 253 nt
Filed under: uncultured bacterium
Lineage: Bacteria
Description: partial 16S ribosomal RNA
Rfam family: Bacterial small subunit ribosomal RNA
Source: RNAcentral
UACGAAGGGGGCUAGCGUUGUUCGGAAUUACUGGGCGUAAAGGGCGCGUAGGCGGUACUUCAAGUCAGGCGUGAAAGCCCCGGGCUCAACUCGGGAACUGCGCUUGAUACUGUCGAGCUAGAGUGUGGAAGGGGCGAUUGGAAUUCCGUGUGUAGCGGUGAAAUGCGUAGAUAUACGGAGGAACACCAGAGGCGAAGGCGGAUCGCUGGGCCAACACUGACGCUGAGACGCGAAAGCGUGGGGAGCAAACAGG